GAGGAAGUAAAAGUCGUAACAAGGUUUCCGUAGGUGAACCUGCGGAAGGAUCAUUAUUGAAUGAACUUGGCGUGGUUGUUGCUGGUCCUCUUGGGGGCAUGUGCACACCCGUCAUCUUUAUCUUUCCACCUGUGCACAUUUUGUAGGUCUAAAAUUUUUCCGAGGCAACUCGUUUAGAGGGAUUGCUGUGCAUCACUGUCGGCUUCCCUUGGAUUUUCAGGCCUAUGUUUUCACAUACACCAUAAAAUGUAAUAGAAUGUCAUAUUGGGCUUUGUUGCCUAUAAACUAUAUACAACUUUCAGCAACGGAUCUCUUGGCUCUCGCAUCGAUGAAGAACGCAGCGAAAUGCGAUAAGUAAUGUGAAUUGCAGAAUUCAGUGAAUCAUCGAAUCUUUGAACGCACCUUGCGCUCCUUGGUAUUCCGAGGAGCAUGCCUGUUUGAGUGUCAUUAAAUUCUCAACCUUAUUAGCUUUUGUUAAUAAUGGCUUGGAUGUGGGGGUUUAUUUGCUGGCUUCUUAAUGAGAUCAGCUCCCCUUAAAUGCAUUAGCUGGUUGCCUUGUGCAGACUUGUCUAUUGGUGUGAUAAUUAUCUACGCCGUGGACUUUCUGCCAGUAUUUAGCACCGCUUCUAACUGUCUGUUUACUCGGACAAUAUAUGACAAUUUGACCUCAAAUCAGGUAGGACUACCCGCUGAACUUAAGCAUA
RNAcentral lists this small RNA (704 nucleotides) under Pholiota mixta. RNAcentral describes it as "eukaryotic LSU rRNA". The stretch from base 294 to 447 matches the Rfam family "5.8S ribosomal RNA". Lineage: Eukaryota; Fungi; Basidiomycota; Agaricomycetes; Agaricales; Strophariaceae. The record is from RNAcentral.